CACCACAGCAACUUAUGUAUAAACAGAUUUCAUUCCUGUCGAUGCAUCAUCAACUACUCAGAGAGUUCACUGAAAUACUUGAACUACUCUCCAGGAAAAUCUGCCAUAUUGCCAUUACUUGCCCACUUCAACUGAGGAUCUUUCAGAAACUAGAAAAACUAGUUUAUAGACUACUCUAGGCAUUAAUCUUUGUUUUUUUUUCUAUUUCCACAGAAAUAUCUCUUAUUAAAGAUCUGUCUGCAUUAUAGAGGCCUCCCUUUGAGAGCUCAUCUGCAAUAUCACCAUCUGAAAUGAGACACAACUAUUUAACAGAACUGACCUAUUCACAGGACUAAGACUGAUUCAAGAAGACAUGUGCUCUUUCCAGAGAGUAUUGGCUCCAGCUGUGGAUCUGCAUUUGUCUGUGUCACCUGCCAGAUGGGACAGGACCAGGUUCCACUUCAGUGGUUCUCAGUGUGGCCCUGAGACCACCAGCAGCAGCAACAUCACCUGGGAACUCAUUAGAAAUGAAAAUUCUCAGGCCUACUUCAGACCUACUGAAUCAGCCACUCUGGGGGCAAAGCCAGCCAUCUGCGUUUUAACAAGUCCUCCAGGGGAUUCUGAUGUACACUGAAGUUUGACAACCACUGUAAACUCUCUUUGACUCCAUGCUUUUUGUCACAGUGUCUGAAUGUCUGAAUGGCUGCCAUGAACUGUUUUGCUGGCUCUGUUUAAACACAACCAGCACAUAGGCAUGACUAAGACAGAACCAAACUCCACUGUUAGGUUUACCUCUGAUUAUUAGAGCUGAAAUGUGUUAACCUUACUUACUGGACUGCUUGUCAGAAAUGAAGAAAACUCUGUCGAAUUACAUCAGCCAGAAAAAUUGCCAGCUGAAACUCUUUGCAUGUGGUAGUCACAAAUACUAUAAAUCAUUGACUGGAAUUUGGCAACCACUUUCCUGCCCCACCUCCCUGCAGACGGCAUCUUGUUAGUGAGUCAUGGGGAUGCUCACAAUAUGUUGACUGCAUCUUCUAAGAAAUCUGACAAUUCUGUGAGUUAUUUUUCUUUUCGUGUGUGAAACAUCAUAAAAAAGACUUGUGGCAUUUCAUUUCUUUUUCUAUUUCACUCUCUUGCUGUUUUUAUAAUGCUCUUUCUAAAAAAUAUA
Long non-coding RNA from Callithrix jacchus (white-tufted-ear marmoset), 1147 nucleotides. The record is from Ensembl. NCBI's taxonomy places the organism in Eukaryota, Metazoa, Chordata, Mammalia, Primates, Cebidae.